Molecule: transfer RNA, 33 nt
Filed under: Crotaphytus dickersonae
Lineage: Eukaryota; Metazoa; Chordata; Lepidosauria; Squamata; Crotaphytidae
Description: partial tRNA-Met
Source: RNAcentral
CCGAAAAUGGUGGUUUAAAUCCUUCCUAUACUA